Molecule: ribosomal RNA, 383 nt
Filed under: uncultured bacterium
Lineage: Bacteria
Description: bacterial SSU rRNA
Rfam family: Bacterial small subunit ribosomal RNA
Source: RNAcentral
CGCAAGCCUGACGGAGCAACGCCGCGUGAGGGAUGAAGGCCUCUGGGCUGUAAACCUCUUUUCUCAAGGAAGAAGAUCUGACGGUACUUGAUGAAUAAGCCACGGCUAAUUCCGUGCCAGCAGCCGCGGUAAUACGGGAGUGGCAAGCGUUAUCCGGAAUUAUUGGGCGUAAAGCGUCCGCAGGCGGUUUUACAAGUCUGUCGUUAAAGCGUGGAGCUCAACUCCAUUUCAGCGAUGGAAACUGUAAGACUCGAGUGUGGUAGGGGCAGAGGGAAUUCCCGGUGUAGCGGUGAAAUGCGUAGAUAUCGGGAAGAACACCAGUGGCGAAAGCGCUCUGCUGGGCCAUAACUGACGCUCAUGGACGAAAGCCAGGGGAGCGAAAG